CUCCUGACUCUGAACCAGUGCUUCCAGUAACCCACGGGUGGCUAACAUCAAAGACAAUAAAAUAUUAGGCCAUAAUAUGCCAGUUUCAGAUCUUUGAACUGUGAUCAAGCCAUCUAUUUCUUUAUCUCAGCCCAGACAGUAGUUACAAAAACGAUGCCCACAACAGGUAAAGCUGAAGCAGAAAGAAGCCACAAAGAAACCUUUUAGAAAUAGACACAAGGCCGUUGUGUUUUUUUUUUUUAUUGUCUACCUCCCACAUGCAGUCACAUGCUUCUUCCCUCUGUCUGUCUGCCUGUUCAGCUAAACCAUCCUGAGCUGAGCAGAAUCCCUUGCCCUCAUGUGAUCUGAAUGCACUGGCCUUAAGCUCCUCCACUGACGUAGUGAACAGCUCCUAAAUGCUGCUCACACGUCCUCACCGCAUCAUUACUGUUUAAUAACACACACUGAAGGACUGUCUAUUUGUGGAUUUUAGACUAUUUUUAAUGUUGCAUUGUUUCUUUGAAGCAGUGAUGGUCUUUAUAGUACGAGCUAAUCAAACCAAUACGACUGGUUGUCAGGAGAUAGAGACAAACGCUGCAUCCAUGACUGCAGCAGAUCAGUCCGGUUUAUUCUGGCUGUCGAGUUGAGGUGGGAGCAAUGGAAGAAGUAAAGUAUUUAUUACAUUGUAUCCACUGUGCACUGGGAUUCUGUCUCAGCCUUGUCAUUCCAGCUGUUGUGGGCUUGAAUCCUCUGCCUUCAUCGACUGUAACUUCAGCGUAUCCUGCACACAGGCCCGGUUCCAGCUGCUCCUCCACAGAUUGUCUAUCGCACCGUUCCAGAUGCAGCUUUCUGCUCCACCUGAAAGGGAAACAGCUGCGUAAACCUGCCGCUAUGACUUCACAGAAUGGACUCACACGGCUGAAGCAGCAGAGCUUCCAGAACUUCCCCACAGGAGCUGCUCACCUGCUACUCUAAGGGCAGGUUCAUGUUUUAACUGGAGCGUGGCCGGGAGCUGUUUGUAUCACAGCCCUGAUGGGCCCACGCCUUGUCUUUUGUGCCGUGGGGUGCAGAGAUCUGCAGCACCUCCCUCUCACUGGAAGGAAAGAGAUGUCACUCAGUUCAAGGCUCUGAAAUAUGAUUCACACCAGUCCAAUAAUGUUAUAAUAAAAAAAAUGUGUAUAAAUUUAAAUGCUCUUUU
Molecule: long non-coding RNA, 1177 nt
Filed under: Betta splendens (Siamese fighting fish)
Lineage: Eukaryota; Metazoa; Chordata; Actinopteri; Anabantiformes; Osphronemidae
Description: lncRNA (ENSBSLG00000003512.1)
Source: RNAcentral